RNAcentral lists this ribosomal RNA (497 nucleotides) under uncultured bacterium. RNAcentral describes it as "partial 16S ribosomal RNA". It matches the Rfam family "Bacterial small subunit ribosomal RNA", at positions 28 to 507 of the family's 1533-position model. The record is from RNAcentral.
GAUGAACGCUGGCGGCGUGCCUAAUACACGCAAGUCGAGCGAACGGACGAGAAGCUUGCUUCUCUGAUGUUAGCGGCGGACGGGUGAGUAACACGUGGAUAACCUACCUAUAAGACUGGGAUAACUUCGGGAAACCGGAGCUAAUACCGGAUGAUAUUUUGAACCGCAUGGUUCAAAAGUGAAAGACGGUCUUGCUGUCACUUAUAGAUGGAUCCGCGCUGCAUUAGCUAGUUGGUAAGGUAACGGCUUACCAAGGCAACGAUGCAUAGCCGACCUGAGAGGGUGAUCGGCCACACUGGAACUGAGACACGGUCCAGACUCCUACGGGAGGCAGCAGUAGGGAAUCUUCCGCAAUGGGCGAAAGCCUGACGGAGCAACGCCGCGUGAGUGAUGAAGGUCUUCGGAUCGUAAAACUCUGUUAUUAGGGAAGAACAUAUGUGUAAGUAACUGUGCACAUCUUGGCGGUACCUAAUCAGAAAGCCACGGCUAACUACGUG